CUCAUACGUUGGAAGAAGAGAAGGAGGAAGAGAAGCCCAGUGCAAAAAUUCUUAUUCAUCCUGUUUUCAGGUUGUCUCACGCCCACAAAGCAGCAGUCAAAGUACUCCGGAGAAUGAAGUACUUUGUGGCCAGACAGAAAUUUCAGCAAGCAAGGAAGCCGUACGACGUGAGGGACGUGAUGGAGCAGUACAACCAGGGACACCUCACCAUGAUGGUCCGCAUCAAGGAGCUACAGAGGAGACUAGACCUCACAUUGGGGAAACCAGGAAUGUUUUUCCCAGGUAAAACCCACCAGAGAAAACUCACCAGGCCAGAGAUGAUCUGAU
Long non-coding RNA from Coregonus clupeaformis (lake whitefish), 327 nucleotides. RefSeq lists it as uncharacterized. The record is from RefSeq and is a predicted model, not a curated record. The transcript has 4 exons. NCBI's taxonomy places the organism in Eukaryota, Metazoa, Chordata, Actinopteri, Salmoniformes, Salmonidae.